Molecule: long non-coding RNA, 537 nt
Organism: Solanum stenotomum
Lineage: Eukaryota; Viridiplantae; Streptophyta; Magnoliopsida; Solanales; Solanaceae
Exons: 4
Source: RefSeq, a predicted model, not a curated record
GCCAUACAUUAUUACUUUGUUUAUGUCCUCCUGCAGUUCUCUUUGCCUCUCUUUGAUUAUCCCACAUUCAAGUUGGAAUUUUGAAGUUCUUGCUUAGUUUAAAUCGGUGAAGACGUCUGUUUUAAAUGUGAUAUUACAUCGAGUGGUGCUAGCUGAGGAACUCAGAAGAAUGUGAAAGUUACAUUUAUGCUUAUGCAAGGGCUCAUCAUAAUUUUCUAUGAAGAUUGAAGCUUAAAGGACAAUCUAUUUCUUUUCCAAUGAAUUCCAGUCAACUCCCUCGAUGAGCUCAACUAGAAUUAUGCUAUUGUUACUGAGAACUCCUGAAGAAAGUUCAGAGACUAACUAAAAUAGUGAGAUAAAGCUGAAAGGAGUGAAGAAGAAAGAGAAAAUCGAGGAGAAGAUAUUGUUGACCAAGAAAUCUUCAGGAAAAAAAAUACAGGACCACAACUAGAUCACAUGGUUAAUAUUUUGACUUGUAACAAGCUGAGCAUUAUUUCCACCGAAUGAGCAGAUUCAUCAUAUCAUCAAUCAACUGAU